GAGUUUGAUCCUGGCUCAGAACGAACGCUGGCGGCGUGCUUAACACAUGCAAGUCGAACGUGAUCCGGAGCUUGCUCCGGUGAAAGUGGCGCACGGGUGAGUAACGCGUGGAUAAUCUGCCCUGGUAUCUGGGAUAACAUCUCGAAAGGGGUGCUAAUACCGGAUAAGCCUACGGACUCCUCGGAGUCUGCAGGAAAAGGUGGCCUCUAUUUAUAAGCUACCGUAUCAGGAUGAGUCCGCGUACCAUUAGCUAGUUGGUGGGGUAAUGGCCCACCAAGGCUACGAUGGUUAGCUGGUCUGAGAGGAUGAUCAGCCACACUGGAACUGAGACACGGUCCAGACUCCUACGGGAGGCAGCAGUGGGGAAUUCUGCGCAAUGGGGGAAACCCUGACGCAGCAACGCCGCGUGAGUGAUGAAGGCUUUCGGGUCGUAAAGCUCUGUCAGAGGGGAAGAAAUGAGACUGGCUAAUAUCCAGUUUUCUUGACGGUACCCUCAAAGGAAGCACCGGCUAACUCCGUGCCAGCAGCCGCGGUAAUAC
RNAcentral lists this ribosomal RNA (539 nucleotides) under uncultured Geobacteraceae bacterium. RNAcentral's name for it is "bacterial SSU rRNA". It matches the Rfam family "Bacterial small subunit ribosomal RNA", at positions 9 to 526 of the family's 1533-position model. Lineage: Bacteria; Pseudomonadati; Thermodesulfobacteriota; Desulfuromonadia; Geobacterales; Geobacteraceae. The record is from RNAcentral.